RNAcentral lists this ribosomal RNA (253 nucleotides) under uncultured bacterium. Its description in RNAcentral is "partial 16S ribosomal RNA". It matches the Rfam family "Bacterial small subunit ribosomal RNA", at positions 524 to 776 of the family's 1533-position model. The record is from RNAcentral.
UACGAGGGGGGCAAGCGUUGUUCGGAAUUACUGGGCGUAAAGCGCGUGUAGGCGGGUCUUUAAGUCAGGGGUGAAAUGCCAAGGCUCAACCUUGGAACUGCCUUUGAUACUGGAGAUCUUGAGUCCGGGAGAGGUGAGUGGAACUGCGAGUGUAGAGGUGAAAUUCGUAGAUAUUCGCAAGAACACCAGUGGCGAAGGCGGCUCACUGGCCCGGAACUGACGCUGAGACGCGAAAGCGUGGGGAGCAAACAGG